UUCAUUUUGUUUCUUUUGACUGAACAGAAUGGAGAAGAGCAAUAUACAGAGGCACAGGAGGAGCAUAAUGGAGAGGAAGGAAGCUAGGAAGAGGCAGUUGUAGUGGAUGCCAAUUCCACAGAUGGUGCAGUACUCGUUAAUGGUAAUGAGGCUGAAGAAGAGUGGGGUACGAAUAAUGAAGGAGGCCCGUCAGCCUAAAAGCAAUUGGUUGGGGUGGUGUGAAAAUUGAAAUUUUGUCUCUGUGCUUGCGCCACGUCACUAGGUCCCAUCAAGACAGUCAGUUCCAGCUUCUGGGCUGUUUGUCUGAGAUGAGAUCUCUAAAGGUGGAUUCUCAAAUGAUUGUCUCCCUUCAAAUAAUUCUGCAUUCUGGUUCUCCAAGGCCACCUUUGAAAGAUUUGUGUGAUCUGUUAGCACAUCUGCAAUUCUGGAGAGGUUCGUCAGCCUUGAAAAAGAAAUCCUGCAGAUUGAAAGUUCAUUUCAAGCAAAUGCUUUGUCGAUGUCCAGUGCAUCUUCCGAUGAGGGAACUGCGCCACAAGCCAAUGGAAUUACAAGGAGGUUGACUAAUUCUGCAAAGGUAUUUAUCUCCCAACAUGAGGUUCAAGCUUUAGCUAAGGAGGUAGCUGAAACAGUGGUUUUGGGUCAUUGAUGAGGAAGGUGUGGAGUCACUCAUAUCAGAACUUGUGAAAGGUGUAAAUUAGCCAAGGUUGCUUUGGUCUUCACACAAGAACUGUUUUCUUGUUCUUUAAAUCACAAAUUAUGACUUUUUCUUUUCCUGCAUCU
Molecule: non-coding RNA, 780 nt
Organism: Arachis ipaensis
Lineage: Eukaryota; Viridiplantae; Streptophyta; Magnoliopsida; Fabales; Fabaceae
Source: RefSeq, a predicted model, not a curated record